Molecule: ribosomal RNA, 253 nt
Filed under: uncultured bacterium
Lineage: Bacteria
Description: partial 16S ribosomal RNA
Rfam family: Bacterial small subunit ribosomal RNA
Source: RNAcentral
GACAGAGGGUGCAAACGUUGUUCGAAAUUACUGGGCGUAAAGCGCGUGUAGGCGGCUUGGCAAGUCGGGUGUGAAAGCCCCGGGCUCAACCUGGGAAGUGCACUCGAAACUGCUUGGCUUGAGUACUGGAGAGGGAAGCGGAAUUCUCGGUGUAGAGGUGAAAUUCGUAGAUAUCGAGAGGAACACCGGUGGCGAAGGCGGCUUCCUGGACAGUGACUGACGCUGAGACGCGAAAGCGUGGGGAGCAAACAGG